CAGGGAUUGCCUCAGUAACGGCGAGUGAAGCGGCAACAGCUCAAAUUUGAAAUCUGACCCCCUCGGGGCCCGAGUUGUAAUUUGUAGAGGGUGUUUCGGGCGCGGCGCCGGUCUAAGUUCCUUGGAACAGGACGUCACAGAGGGUGAGAAUCCCGUACGUGACCGGCGAUCAAGCCCAUGUGAAGCCCCUUCGACGAGUCGAGUUGUUUGGGAAUGCAGCUCAAAAUGGGUGGAAAAUUUCAUCUAAAGCUAAAUAUUGGCCAGAGACCGAUAGCGGACAAGUAGAGUGAUCGAAAGAUGAAAAGCACUUUGGAAAGAGAGUCAAACAGUACGUGAAAUUGUUGAAAGGGAAGCGCUUGCAAUCAGACCGGUCCGGGGGCGAUCAGCCGCUGCUCGUCGGCGGUGCACUCGCCCUCGAUCCGGCCAGCAUCGGUUUGGGCGGCGGGAGAAAAGGCCCGGGAAUGUAGCUUCCUUCGGGGAGUCUUAUAGCCCGGGUCGGCAUGCCGCCCGCCUGGACCGAGGACCGCGCUUCGGCUAGGAUGCUGGCGUAAUGGUUGCAAGCGACCCGUCUUGAAACACGGACCAAGGAGUCUAACAUCUAUGCGAGUGUUUGGGUGUCAAACCCGGGCGCGGAAUGAAAGUGAACGGAGGUGGGAACCGGUCAGACGGCGCACCAUCGACCGAUCCAGAUGUCUUCGGAUGGAUUUGAGUACGAGCAUAGCUGUUGGGACCCGAAAGAUGGUGAACUAUGCCCGGAUAGGGUGAAGCCAGAGGAAACUCUGGUGGAGGCUCGCAGCGGUUCUGACGUGCAAAUCGAUCGUCAAAUCUAGGCAUAGGGGCGAAAGAACAAUCGAACCAUCUAA
RNAcentral lists this ribosomal RNA (863 nucleotides) under Pseudocyphellaria crocata. RNAcentral's name for it is "LSU rRNA". It matches the Rfam family "Eukaryotic large subunit ribosomal RNA", at positions 69 to 947 of the family's 3401-position model. Lineage: Eukaryota; Fungi; Ascomycota; Lecanoromycetes; Peltigerales; Lobariaceae. The record is from RNAcentral.